UGUUUUUGCACAUCAAAUCAAUGUUUUCUAAGUUUGAAUGUAGAUUGCAAUACAAAAUGUUAUCAAUGAUAACAUGAGAUUAAAUGUAGAGCCUAUAUACUGUACGAUGGAGUGUAUGUACAGUAUAUAAAACACUUCUUUAGGUGUACAAAGAACUCUGGGAGGUGGUUUUAUUAGCUAUAAAUGCAAGUUGUAGUUUGAUUCUUUAGAGUAUGGAUCGGAUACUUUUAAUGUCAGAGGAAAUGUGAUGAUUCGUAUUUAUGUUUUUCACGUGUUACGACGCUACGUUUGCAAAGAGAUUCUCUGUUUGUAUCCAGAUCCUUUCACAGAGACGUUUACCAAAGCACUGUUUGAUCAACACUGAUUUUCUUCUGUUAGUGAAAAAGCUCUGGGAGUCAGAUGGGAGUCAGAUCUCUCCUGUCCCGACUUUCCCUGCUCAUCCCGAAACACUCAAACCUGGAAGAUUCCAAGAUGUGAACGAGCGGUUCAGGUUGAAUUUUUGGGACCAGCUGUAUCGUACUGUGUAAAUCUUUUAACUACCGCUUUACGCGCUUUUCUUUACGCACCCCUCAGCAUUCACAGAAGCAGCGAAGGACGCAGACGUCUGGACCGACGUGUCAACACUAAAGAGAUCCGACCAAAAGUGGAGCAGGAAUUGACUCAGAAUUAUGUUAGAAUGGAUUUAUAUGGAGCCUGGAGUGUGCCAGUGGAAUAAUGUGACUCGUAAAUUAAUUCAAAAUGUGUAUACAAACUAGCUGCUGUCCCAGGUAAUGACUCUGUGUAUUGUCUGGAAGGAUAAUGAGCGAACUUUAGAAGUGCCUUUUAUUUAAAAAUAGAUAUACUUUGUUAAAUGCUAUAUUACUGAUUCCUCCAGUCUCUUAAAUUCAGCUCCCAUAAUGAUCAUAAUUAUUAACCAACACCAUCGGUCAGUCUGACGGUGUGGAUUCAUUUCCCAGUGGGUGUUGGAGUGUUUGCUGUUCUUCUACCGAUCUAAUAUUUCUUUUUAGUCCUACCCACGUUCUCUCCAGAGCCUGUUUAUUGCACACUACCAGUUUAACCUUUUUUCUCUUUAAGCAGCACAGUUCAGGUUGUAAUCUGGAAAGUAUGGAGCGAAUGAGCAGCAGGUGAGCUAUAGCUGUGGCUAUCUAAUCAAUCUUUAAUUGAUAUACUUAAGAUGUAUAUUAUUUCACUGGGACACUUGAGACUCCAUAUUUACAGCUGUAGUUCCACGACACACGUGCAUACUAAUUUAUACUUUCCUACCACGUUGCACACAAAGGUAGAAAAGAGAACAGGUAGCUGUCAGGUGACGAUGCAGACUUUCAGUUGUUGUUUUUAAUUUAUCAUUUUGUGUACAUUUGGUUUGAUUUGAGCAGAAAUGUUUUCUAAUGAGAUGGAUAAGGAAAAUGUGUAUCUACUGAGGAAUAAUGCUGUUUAAUAUUAGGGGCAAUACAAAGUACGGUAAAUAAACACACUG
This is a long non-coding RNA of Astatotilapia calliptera (eastern happy), 1477 nucleotides long. NCBI's taxonomy places the organism in Eukaryota, Metazoa, Chordata, Actinopteri, Cichliformes, Cichlidae. The record is from Ensembl.